Molecule: transfer RNA, 73 nt
Filed under: Ailuropoda melanoleuca (giant panda)
Lineage: Eukaryota; Metazoa; Chordata; Mammalia; Carnivora; Ursidae
Rfam family: tRNA
About the family: Transfer RNA (tRNA) molecules are approximately 80 nucleotides in length.
Source: Rfam by way of RNAcentral
GCCUGUCUGGCUCAGUUUGUGGAGCAUGGGACUCUUGAUCUCAGGGCUAUGAGUUCGAGCCCCCUGUUGGGUA